AGGCCGCUUUGAACUUCGUGAUUGCUGGUGUGUUGAUAGCAAAGGAGAAGAGCUACAAGGAACAAAGGCAGGAGUGAACCAGGUUCCUGCGUGUCCUGGUAUAUGUGAAGGUGUGAAGCAGAAAGCCAUGAAAUUCAUGGAGGAGGCAGAGCAGCUCAUCUUAGCCUCAAAUGAGUCCCACUUUGCUUUUGGAGAGAGCUUCUUGAUGGCAAAAGGGAUACAGCUCACAGACAGGGACCUCCUGCGCUCUGCUCGGCCCUAUGAGUCACAGGUGCUGGACUCCCAAAAGCUGCUCUCAGGCAGUGACUCUGCUCUCCAGCUGGCUGCAUGGUCAGUCCUGCGCUUCUAUUGGCAGACUCACUUUUCUUCAAAAGGUUCUGCUGGGGAAGCAGCACA
This 396-nucleotide long non-coding RNA is filed under the name Manacus vitellinus (golden-collared manakin). Its description in RNAcentral is "lncRNA (ENSMVIG00005012029.1)". Lineage: Eukaryota; Metazoa; Chordata; Aves; Passeriformes; Pipridae. The record is from RNAcentral.